This 253-nucleotide ribosomal RNA is filed under the name uncultured bacterium. Its description in RNAcentral is "partial 16S ribosomal RNA". It matches the Rfam family "Bacterial small subunit ribosomal RNA", at positions 524 to 776 of the family's 1533-position model. The record is from RNAcentral.
UACAGAGGGUGCGAGCGUUAAUCGGAUUUACUGGGCGUAAAGGGCGCGCAGGCGGCGGAUCAAGUCAGGCGUGAAAGCCCCGGGCUCAACCUGGGAACGGCGCCUGGGACUGGUUUGCUAGAGAUCGGGAGAGGAGCGUGGAAUUCCCAGUGUAGAGGUGAAAUUCGUAGAUAUUGGGAAGAACACCGGUGGCGAAGGCGGCGCUCUGGACCGAGACUGACGCUGAGGCGCGAAAGCGUGGGGAGCAAACAGG